GAAUUUGCACUUUGAAUUUAGUUUUUUUUCUUUACAACAAUUAAAAAAAGAAAACACAUCUCUCUUACUGUGUGUGUGUGUGUUCGAUAAACACCCAAGAACAUAUUCAUAGAUUCAAGAACAUCUUUUGCUGCCACAACUAUUCGACCGCCUUCCACCACCACCACCACCACCGUUUUCCACUUCUAUCUCCAUCCAAACUUCAUCUGCCACUUCAUCUCAGCCAAAAAAAUUAUCCCAUAAACAAAACAUACACAAAAUUUGGGUUUGUUCUCUUAAGUUGAUGAAUACACACACAUGAAAUUAUAUCUCAUGGACACACACACACACACACAAAAUCAUUUAUGAUGAACACAUACACAAAAUCAGAUCAGACGUACACACACAUACACAUGCAAUUAGAUGAACACACACACACACAAAAAAAAAAUCAGAUCAGAUGUACACACACGAAAUCUUAUGAAAACACACACACGAAAUCAGAUGAAGACAUACAUACACACACGAUGAACAGACACACACACACACACACACACGAAAUCAGAUGAACAUACACACACACACACCCUAAGUAAACCAGAACGGACAAGAAGCAGAUCUACGUCGCCACUUUCUCAGAUCUAUGUCGUCGGCCCCCUUUCUCAGAUCUAUGUCGUUGCCCUUUUCGACGACUCAUUCUUAAUCGACUCCGGUAGCAAAAAUCACAGGUCCCUUCACUCUCGUUUAUCCUGAAUAGAUCAAGCUCUAAUCGAUCACAAUCCUUCUUUCUUCUCUAGUCUAUCGCAAUCCCUCCCAGGUCCUGACUCGCUCUUAAUCAACUCAGGCAACAAAAAUCACACCAGAUUCGCCCCUUCGUCUUUUCUAAUCGAUCAUAAUCUUUCCUCUUCUCUCGAAUUCGAAAUCAUGUAAGUGUUGCUGGGUUUUUCAAAGGUGAACGGUUUUUGGGUUAAAUCAAAGCAUAUGAUGAUGAGGGCAGUUCAUCAUAUCUAAAAAAACAAGUAGUUCUUGUUCUUGAAAUCAGGAAAAAAUAAGUGUUUUUGAGAUCUGGAAAAUCGACUAGAUCCAAGACUAAAUCCACAAUGAAGAAUUUAGAUUUGUGGUUCUUGGUUUCAUGCUUUUUACUUAAGAACACAUCUUUUUUUUUUUUUGAACUAACAGACCCAUAAAUCUGUAUAUAUAUAGAGAGAGAGAGAGGGAGGGUGAUAUUUUCU
This 1211-nucleotide long non-coding RNA is filed under the name Lactuca sativa (garden lettuce). RNAcentral describes it as "long non-coding RNA (LSAT_LNC005474)". Lineage: Eukaryota; Viridiplantae; Streptophyta; Magnoliopsida; Asterales; Asteraceae. The record is from RNAcentral.